This 711-nucleotide ribosomal RNA is filed under the name Rhodococcus sp. KLBMP 1290. Its description in RNAcentral is "bacterial SSU rRNA". It matches the Rfam family "Bacterial small subunit ribosomal RNA", at positions 112 to 844 of the family's 1533-position model. Lineage: Bacteria; Bacillati; Actinomycetota; Actinomycetes; Mycobacteriales; Nocardiaceae. The record is from RNAcentral.
AACACGUGGGUGAUCUGCCCUGCACUUCGGGAUAAGCCUGGGAAACUGGGUCUAAUACCGGAUAUGACCUUCGGCUGCAUGGCCGUUGGUGGAAAGGUUUACUGGUGCAGGAUGGGCCCGCGGCCUAUCAGCUUGUUGGUGGGGUAAUGGCCUACCAAGGCGACGACGGGUAGCCGACCUGAGAGGGUGACCGGCCACACUGGGACUGAGACACGGCCCAGACUCCUACGGGAGGCAGCAGUGGGGAAUAUUGCACAAUGGGCGAAAGCCUGAUGCAGCGACGCCGCGUGAGGGAUGACGGCCUUCGGGUUGUAAACCUCUUUCAGCAGGGACGAAGCGAAAGUGACGGUACCUGCAGAAGAAGCACCGGCCAACUACGUGCCAGCAGCCGCGGUAAUACGUAGGGUGCAAGCGUUGUCCGGAAUUACUGGGCGUAAAGAGCUCGUAGGCGGUUUGUCGCGUCGUCUGUGAAAACUCGAGGCUCAACCUCGAGCUUGCAGGCGAUACGGGCAGACUUGAGUACUGCAGGGGAGACUGGAAUUCCUGGUGUAGCGGUGAAAUGCGCAGAUAUCAGGAGGAACACCGGUGGCGAAGGCGGGUCUCUGGGCAGUAACUGACGCUGAGGAGCGAAAGCGUGGGUAGCGAACAGGAUUAGAUACCCUGGUAGUCCACGCCGUAAACGGUGGGCGCUAGGUGUGGGUUUCCUUCCAC